This 480-nucleotide ribosomal RNA is filed under the name Actinomyces sp. 'ARUP UnID 51'. RNAcentral's name for it is "bacterial SSU rRNA". It matches the Rfam family "Bacterial small subunit ribosomal RNA", at positions 27 to 504 of the family's 1533-position model. Lineage: Bacteria; Bacillati; Actinomycetota; Actinomycetes; Actinomycetales; Actinomycetaceae. The record is from RNAcentral.
GGACGAACGCUGGCGGCGUGCUUAACACAUGCAAGUCGAACGCUGAAGCCUGGCUUUUGUUGGGUGGAUGAGUGGCGAACGGGUGAGUAACACGUGAGUAACCUGCCCCCUUCUUUGGGAUAACGCCCGGAAACGGGUGCUAAUACUGGAUAUUCACUGGCCUUCGCAUGGGGGUUGGUGGAAAGGGUUUUCUGGUGGGGGAUGGGCUCGCGGCCUAUCAGCUUGUUGGUGGGGUGAUGGCCUACCAAGGCUUUGACGGGUAGCCGGCCUGAGAGGGUGACCGGUCACAUUGGGACUGAGAUACGGCCCAGACUCCUACGGGAGGCAGCAGUGGGGAAUAUUGCACAAUGGGCGCAAGCCUGAUGCAGCGACGCCGCGUGAGGGAUGGAGGCCUUCGGGUUGUGAACCUCUUUCGCUCAUGGUCAAGCCGCAACAAUGGUUGUGGUGAGGGUAGUGGGUAAAGAAGCGCCGGCUAACUAC